This 72-nucleotide transfer RNA is filed under the name Biomphalaria glabrata. It matches the Rfam family "tRNA". From Rfam's summary of the family: Transfer RNA (tRNA) molecules are approximately 80 nucleotides in length. Their secondary structure includes four short double-helical elements and three loops (D, anti-codon, and T loops). The record is from Rfam by way of RNAcentral. Lineage: Eukaryota; Metazoa; Mollusca; Gastropoda; Planorbidae.
GGCAUCGUGGCUGAGCAGUAAAGCGCUUGGCUUUCAAACCAGGGGUCCCGGGUUCAAAUCCUGGUAAAGACU